CAUUGCUUUAUUAAUCAUCGUGCUCAUUAGGCCGCUGUGGGGCGUUUGAUUCUGGAAGCUUUAAAGACUUCAAAUGGUGUACCUUCAGGAAACCGUCUACGUGUAGUAUUCAGUCCGUGCAUUCUCAGGGAAGAACGGUGCUUCUUUUCCCCCUCCCAAGCGAAUCUUCCCCAGCCUGUGGUUCACGCUGCACUGGUGAUCGUGUGCGUGAGUGCGCGCAGCUGUUUGUCUCGAGCUCCGGGACCAGGCGAUGGGACGCAUGCGUCGGGCACCCGCGCUCCGCUCCGGGCCGUGCGACUGAGCGAGCCUCCUUUUGAUUGACAGGUGGAGGGCGAGGCGCGGGCACGGAGCGACGCUCGCUCCCCGCUGCGUCACCCUGCCCCCCCACCCCGCCCCUCCCCCAAUCACCCCCCGCACCCCAGCAUUGCCCCGCCAGCAACAUGGCGGCGCUCAGCCCGGAGCCCGGAGCCGCAACGGGGUUACGAGCCGGCGCCCAGCUCUCCGUCACUGUGGAACACGUCGUUAGCGGCACCUUAGUGGUGUCCACCAACUUCGGAGGCAGCAGCUUCACCGGGAUCCUGAUAGACAUGGCCAAGAAGUCUGGUUUGUGUGGUUUACUACCAAACCCGUUUCCUGUUGAAUCAUGCACCAGUGAAUUCCUUGAUGGGAAAGAACAGCCAGUCUGUCAGACUGAGUCUGAGCUCUGCAACUUGCAGCAUCCCAAGAUGUCAAACAGAGAACAAGUUUCACCUCUUCAGCCAUUACCAAAAACUGUGCCUUGCUUUCCACCUUAUUGUGAAGGUGUACCUCUGCCACAACCUCUGGUAUUGAGACAAACUUACAAUCAGUGGGUUCCCCAGCCUCCACCUCGGACAAUCAAACGCACCAAAAGGCGCCUAUCAAGGAAUCGUGAUCCUGGUAAGCUUAUAAUGAGCACCAUUAGAUUGCGACCUAGGCAGGUACUGUGUGAAAAGUGCAAAAACACACUAAAUCGUGAGGAAGAGGAUGAUGAUGACAAAGAUGGACACAACAAUAAGAAUGAGAAAAAGACUAGCAUGGAAGAAAAUGAAAAGAGGAAACUUGAGGUAAUGUGUUGUGAAAAUAGGAAAAUAAAAAAGGAAAAGAAAGAUGAUAAAUUUUCUAGUGAGAUGGUGCAUCGAAGCCCAGUAAUUAAAAUAUCAUACAGCACUCCUCAAGGGAAAGGAAAGGUGGUGAAAAUUCCAUCACGGGUACAUGGCUCAGUUGAGCCAUUUUGUCCUAAACGGUUAGGUCAAAAUGAAAGUGUGGACCAGGACAAGAACACACAUUGUGAUGAGAUGGAGGUUCUUCAAGAAAAGUCAUUUUCUAGUCCAUCUGGAACCAUUCCAAAGCUAAAACUAACUAGGCCUUUGCAUUCCAUGGCAGACAUCCCACCACCUAGAAUUCGAUUAAAACCUCAUCGGCUCAGUAACGGGGACAAUGUUGCAAUUUAUAAGGCUGAGCUUGUAGAUGAUAUAAAUAGUGAAGUGCAACCUGCACGGAGAUCAGAUAGUGGUACACUUCAUUCUGAAGAAUCCACAGGAAAGAGUUCGGUGGAGACAUCAGGGAGUUCUGGAGAGGAGGACCAAUGGAGGUAUAAAAGGAGUCGUCGAAGCAAGGAUCAAGAUGAUCUGACUGUAUAUUUAAGUUAUAGGAAAAAAAGAGCAGAUUCAUCAAGCUUAUCAGUCUGUAGCAACGAUAGUCUAGAUGAAUCAAAGUCUUCUAGUUCAGAAAUAACUUCACCAGAAAUAUGUGAUUUUGCACCUGGAGAUGAUGCAUCUGUGUCAUCUUCUUCCAAAGAAGAAAAGACUGUGCCACCCUUAACUGUGAGACUUCAUACCAAAACUGUCACAAGAUGUGUAACAACCGAAGGCAGGACUAUAUCCGUUGGCGAUAUUGUAUGGGGGAAGAUUCAUGGCUUCCCCUGGUGGCCUGCACGUAUUCUUGGCAUUAGUGUUAACAAGAAGGAAAAUGGGACUCCAGUGUGGCAGGAAGCCAGGGUGUCUUGGUUUGGAUCACCUACAACAUCGCUGCUUUCUGUGUCAAAAGUCUCGCCAUUUUUGGAGUAUUUUAAGUUGAGGUUUAACAGGAAGAAGAAAGGAGUGUACCGCAGGGCGAUUACAGAAGCUGCAAAGGCAGCUGAUCACCUGACACCUGAAAUCCGAUCUCUCCUUUCGCAAUACGAAACUUAACUGAGCCAAAGCAGAUAGCCGAAGAUCAGGAGAAAAAAAAGUCAAUAUCCUCUCUGAUUUAAAUGGCUUUGAUCUUCAGCCAGUACUCCAUUGGAGAAUUUUGUUUGGUAUUUACGAGGCUAUCGGAUCCUGGUGAAUUCUUGUCAACAGUUAUCUUGAAGGAGCCGAAGGACUGGGCUUUAUCUGUGACGGGCAAGAGUGGAGCAGAGGGAAGUCUGACAUUUCAUUUCGGACUGUUAUUGAUUGUGAUGGAGCCCAUAUUCUCAUGGGUGGACAGUGAAUAGUAUAAGUUGGAAUGUAGCUAUUUAAGUCACUACUCUUUGUCUAAGACUUGUCUCAAUCAAAAUAAAAUUACUGCAAAAAUUUCUAAGGGUGAGUAAUGGAUAAAGACUAGUCUCUUUAUUUUGAUUCCUGUUUUUUUAAUUAUGUAAUGCAGUAGUUUUAAUACAGCAAGUAUAAAAUGUCUAAAUACUGCAAUUGCCCAAUGGUCUUGCAAACAAUUGCAGGGCAUAAUAGGCAUUAUUUGUAACUUCAUUAGCAUUUAGCAGCAUAUGAUUAUCUCUGCACCAGAUGCAAAGCUUGCAGAAGGCCUGUGUUGCCUCUUCCUCCAGUAACAUUGGAUAUGUUCCAAAUGCACAAAUAAUGCUGAAGUAGUAAUGGUUUGAAAAUAGUUCCGUACUGUAACCUGAAGAUGAAAUUGUAACAUGAUGAGUUUACAGUGGAGAAGAGUUAAUUAAUAAAAAGAUCAAGUUUCCAGGGGGAGUCCUUAUUGAAAGGCAUUUAAUGUUGACUCUUUGACAUUGAGCAAUAUUGUGGAUGCCAUGAUUUGGUGUUUUCUAAUUACACCCUGUUUUCAUUGUAGAAUGAUGGCUAGCUGUAAUGUUUGUUUUGCACAACAAUGCUAAAAUAACUGCAUACUGUCAACCUUUUGAAGAUUUAAUGAAGAGGAAAGUAGAAGUUAAUGAGGAUCAUGUCAUGCCUGAAAAAUAAUACCUGACUGGUUAAAGGGGGUUAACAGAUUUAUUGAAUGCAUUGUCCUCGUGUUUAGAAUGAUUGGGGCCCAGAGUAAGUUAUAUUUUGUAUAGUGGAGCUCGCUAAUUCUGACUGAGUCUAAUUUGUUUCAAAAAGAUUGUCCUGUUUUAACCACUGAAAAAAGCACUACCUGAUGCUUACCAGUGUGUCCUUGCUCAGUCUUGUUCUUCAGAGAUGCCUUUUUGAGUAUUCCAUAAUGUGCCAGUUAGUUAUCAUGUCUUCAUGACUUGGAGCCAUACACAUCAGUAAGCCUGCCCUGUAUUCUGCCCAAAUAUUCGUUAAAGGUAAUGUUCUUACUAUGCAGAUGGAUUUUAAGGCUAUGAUAGGAGGGGUUAAAAAAAUCACUUUUGUUCCUAGCUUUGUCCAUUUGAUCCUGCUAUAGUCUCUCUAGUUAUCAAAUUAGGCAAGUCUGAAAUGCAGUCCACAAUAUAAGGAAUGGACACUUACGUAUUGAGGAUUGAUUAUCUGCAGAACAAAAUGAAAACACGAGCAGUUGCCUUCAGAAGGGAAAUCUGGAGAAAUGGAACAGUUUAGAAACAGCUAUUUUGUAUGGAAUGUACUUGCCAUGUGGGACUAGGGGGAUCAGCAAACACUUUCUGCAGGAGUUGAGAAUGUAAUUUGAAGUGAAAUUUGAGGUGGUAUUCACUCCUUGACUUCCUCUGGUCCAUUUUUCUUAAAAGUGCGCAAAUGACCUGUUUCAAAUAUAGGGUUUUGGGGUAAUUCAGUUGUCAAUCUCUUUAUACAGCUAGGAAGCCUGAAGACUUAUCUGAAGGAUUCCACCACAUUCCCAGUGUCCCUUUUUUUGUUGCAAAUUUCUGCAUGAGAUUCAGUCACUCUGCCUGUUGCCAACUUGAUUUCAGGGACAUCUCUUUAUCAUGAUCCUUUUGCUUGCCUGGAUGCUGACAAUACCUGUAGAUGCAAUAUCACUUGCUCAGACUUUUCUGGGAAUCAACACUGAGAUCAACAACUAUCAGCACUGAGACACGGCAGUGGAGGGCUGACUGAGUGAAGAGUUCUGCUGUCGAGACAGAGAUCUCUGGAUAGAAACCUGUUCGAACAGUUCCAUCGAACUGAUAAUGUUCAAGUUAACAUGGAGUAAGGAAUGUCAGGCACAUUUCUCGGUGCCUUAGAGCCUGCUGGGAAAUGCCUCUCCUGGUACAUUUGGCAAGAUUUGUUUUCUCCCUUGCCACGUUAUCCAGUAUGCUGUCAAUACCAGUUCAGUACAGCAGUUUCAUCAUCUGUAUGAUAAUAAUCUGCUCACAGAGUGACCAAGCUUUACUAAUCCUGUUGCCCUGCAACAAUACAAUUUAAAGUGCUAAGACUGAAGUAUGUAUUGCCUGGCAUCACUGAAAUCUCUGACCACCUUCGAUCUUAAAUGUAAAUUACAUGCCUGCAAUUUUUUUUCCAUCAGAGGUCGAGGUCAUACUUAGUCUCUGUUUCCUCAGCCAAAAAUCACUCCAGCCAACCGCUGCUGAUCUUGGCGCUAUCCCACAUUUUGCUGCUCAGUGUUGCGGUACAGAGGGCAGUUAAACUUCAAACUCAAGAGAAGUCUUUAUCUUUGUUUAGCUUAGAAGUAGGGAGCACAGACCCAGACAUUCCAUAAGGAUUCAAUAUUGUUUAUUGUCAUUCUUCAAUGCACGAGUAUGAGAAUAAAAUGGUUGUUAGUCCAAAUCCAAUGCAGCAUAAAAACGCAAUAAAUAUAGCAGCAAUCCUAUAAAACACAGUGUACAAGUAAAGAGGCAGUGCAUGGGGGAAUGAAGGGUGCUGAGGUGCUGUGGAAAGGAGUGGCUGACAUGGAUGCAGUGGUGGGGUGGGUUAAUGGGUGGAGAUGUUGAUCAGCCUCAUGGCUUGGGGAUGUAAUUGUUUUUGAAUCCAGUACUCAUGGCCUCCCUGAUAAAAGUUCCUCCAUCAAAGACUGCACUCGUAUUCUUGCAGAGAACCCUGGCAGCUGCCUGCUGAAAAAUCGCUGUGGUCCCCAUGCACAAGGUACAUACCUUCUGAGAGCAUCAAUCUGCACCAGACCAUCCAGGAGCAUACUCAUGUCCUGUCUUCCAUCUGUGCAAUAUUCCCUCAGUAGCAACAUCCUCAAGUAAUUGGAGUAGGUUUGUUGCACUGUGUAAUGUUACAUCCCUUGAAGAGUUUUUGUUCAAAUAAAUCACAACUGCUCUGAUGUAUGCUGAGAUGUACAAAAACCUAAAACAAUUCAGUAGAGAAUAAUGUGUUAAAAACCAGCAGUGUUGGGGUGAACCAACAUCAAAAUAUUGUACCUGUGCUGUGCUAACUAUUGUGCGAUGAGCUUGACCAAAUUCAAGAGGGUUUAGCAAAUAGUGGAGAAUGCAUUUCACCAAUUGUUGUGGGAUUCUUUUGCCUGAUGCACAUGUGGAAUUCAUCACUGGCUUGGAGCUCCUUAGUCUUCUGCGGAGAAGCACCAGCAACAGUAGUCAUUCAACUCAAGCAAAAGAAGGAAAGCUAGGAGAGAGCAAACAUUUCUAUACUUUCCUCCAUAAACUGACGACGUGCUGAAGGGCUUUACAGACAAUGGAGAGUUCUCAAAAUGUAGCAUUAGAGCCAGUUCACACACAGUAAGUUCUUGCUGUGAAUGAUGUAAUAAGAACUAGAUAUUCUUUUUGUGGUGAGGUUGCCAAACAGAUAUGUUUUGAGGAAUUAAAAAUAAAAUAUGAGCAGGAUUAGACCAUUGGGUCUCUCAAGCCUGCUUUGCGAUUCAUUGAAAUCAUGCCAGAUAUUCUAGCUCAACAUCAUGUUCUCAUAUCCUUUGCUUCCCCUAUUACCCAACAAUUUAUCAAUCUCAGUUUCAAAUGCGGUCAGUGACUGAGCUGUCCAGGGGGGAGAAAUCCAGUGAUCCACAACCCUCUGGGCAAAGGAAUUUCUCCUUAUUUGAGUUGCAAAUGUCUUCCCCUUAUUCUGAGUCAAUGACCCUUAUUUCUAGAUCUCUCAGCCAGAGAAACCAUUCCUGCCAUGUUUACCAUGUUGCUCCCUCUAACAAUUUUGCACACUUCAGCAGGACUAGCAAAGAUUAUGCUAAAAAAAAUUUAUUAAGGAAGAAAUUUCCAAGGUUUUAUUGCAAUGAAACCAUAAUUGUGAUGAGGAGGCAUGACAAUGAGUCUUGGUGAAAUUUCAAUGUUUUAUACGACCUAUAUAUACUGAGCAGAUGGUGCUUAGGACAGGCUCAAUAGGACUGUUGAUCAGUGGAGCAUUAGGUUCUGAUGAUAGGUGGGUGAAGAUUAUAGUGAAUGAAAUGGUUUAUUAUAAUAACGCUAAGGUAAGUGACAAUCAGAUAAUCAGUUUUUGAAGUAACAUAUUCACAAUAGAACAAAGUAAUCCCAUUCUGAAAGGUAUCAAUCAUCUUUUAUCUUAUUUAAUAUAUCAUAUUAAAUAUUCUUCCUGAUAGGCUGAAUGUCUUUUACACUCAGUUUGAUGCACAGAGCAAUAUGCCAGCGAGGAAGGCUCCCUUUUCCCCCUGAGGAGCAGGCAUUUUGUCCUGCCAUAGCUCAAGCCCCUAGCCAGAGUCAACCCAAGUAAUGCUGCGGGGCAGAAUGGCAUACCCGGCCAGGUGCUGAUGGACUAUGCAGCCCAGUUAACGGAGGUUCUAACGGACAUCUUCAAUAUCUCUCUUGAACAGACCACUGUCCCAUCAGGCUUCAAGGUAGCCACUAUCAUCCUGGUGUCCAAGAGGCCAAUAGUGUCCUACCUCAAUCACUACCGUGGUACUGACCUCAACAUUAAUGUGCUUUGAGCAGCUGGUUAUGGAUCACAUUAAAUCCCAUCUUCCUGCUACACUGGGCUCUUUUCAGUUUGCUUAUUGCUGAAAUCAGUCCACUGAGGAUGCCAUAGUCCACUCUGUCCUGUCCCUCCUGGAACAUGGUGCCUCAUAUGCCAUAAUGCUGUUUAUUGACUUCAGCUCGGCGUAUAAUAGCCCCUCAGAAGCCGGUGGGUAAACUGUCCUCAUUGGGUUUCAACACUUCUCUUUGUAACUGGAUCCUGGACUUCUUGACAGAAAGGCCACAGUCAGUCCAUCUAGGUGAAACAUCUCUAGCUCUGUCACACCGAGCACUGGCGCUCUCCAGGGCUGCAUGUUCAGCCCACUGCUGACACAUGCCUUGCGAGAUCCAGUCCGAACUGAAUCAUCAAGUUUGCUGAUGACACAACGGUGGUUGACUUCAUCAACAAUAACGAUGAGAUGGCAUACAGAGAGGAGGUAGAGUAGCUGGCAGAAUGGUGCAUGCACAUCAACCUGAGUCUCAACGUAGACAAGAUCAAAGAGAUAACUGUGGACUUUAGGAAGGAGCUGUCUGACCACUCCUCACUGCACAUGCACAGCUCCUCCAUGGAGAGCAUUAGGAGCACCAAGUUGCUGGGAGUGCAAAUAAUGGUCCCUCUCGGCCCCUCAACACCCUCUUUGGUCAAGAAAGCACAGCAUCUCCACUUCCUGAGGAGAUUGAGGUAAGUGAGGCUCCACUACUCCUACCCGGCCCAUUUUAACCAGUUUUUUACAGCAGCACCAUCAAGAGUACCCUGACCAGCUGCAUCGCUGUCUGGUAUGGGAAUUGCAAGGCAUCUAAUGUAAGUCCCUACAAAGGAUUGCAAGGACUGCUGAGAAGAUCAUCAUUAUCUUCCACUCAUUAGAGAUAUUUAUCAGGAGCGCUGCGUACACAGAGCACUUAGCAUUAUCAGAGACCCCUCCCAUUUGUCCAACAAUCUCUUUGACCCCUACCUACCUUAGGAUUCGGACAAGAAACAGCUUCUUCCCCCAAACUACAAGACUACUGAGCUCCCUGCUACCACCCAGGGCUCAUCACAUUUGAAGUGCCAGUAGUGUUAUACUGUUACUUUUUAACUUGUAUGUACAUGCACCUUAUUAUUUGUUAAUUUAUUUGUGGUAAUGUAACUUUAUGUGUUGUGUGUGUGAGUUACUGUAUAUAUACUGUGUUGUGCACCUUGGUCCAGAGGAACAUUUUGUAUACAUGUGUAUGGCUGAAUGACA
This is an RNA transcript of Mobula hypostoma (lesser devil ray), 8244 nucleotides long. It is a transcript of the gene named PWWP domain containing 2B, with no coding region annotated. NCBI's taxonomy places the organism in Eukaryota, Metazoa, Chordata, Chondrichthyes, Myliobatiformes, Myliobatidae. The transcript has 6 exons. The record is from RefSeq and is a predicted model, not a curated record.